This 72-nucleotide transfer RNA is filed under the name Camelus bactrianus (Bactrian camel). It matches the Rfam family "tRNA". Rfam says of the family: Transfer RNA (tRNA) molecules are approximately 80 nucleotides in length. Their secondary structure includes four short double-helical elements and three loops (D, anti-codon, and T loops). Lineage: Eukaryota; Metazoa; Chordata; Mammalia; Artiodactyla; Camelidae. RNAcentral also lists the same sequence under 2 other names. The record is from Rfam by way of RNAcentral.
GAGGGUAUAGCUCAGUGGUAGAGCGCAUGCUUAGCAUGCACGAGGUCCUGGGUUCAAUCCCCAGAACCUCCA